RNAcentral lists this ribosomal RNA (373 nucleotides) under uncultured eukaryote. Its description in RNAcentral is "partial 18S ribosomal RNA". It matches the Rfam family "Eukaryotic small subunit ribosomal RNA", at positions 592 to 976 of the family's 1831-position model. The record is from RNAcentral.
UAAUAGUGUAUAUUAAAGUUGUUGCAGUUAAAAAGCUCGUAGUUGAAUGUUGGUGUCGAACGAGCGGUCAGCUUCGGCUGUACUGCUCUCUCGACUCCUUCCUUCUGUGGACUACGUCGCACUUUACUGUGUGGCGCUAGGACGCAGAUCGUUUACUGUGAAAAAUUAGAGUGUUCAAAGCAGGCCGUACGCUUGAAUACAUUAGCAUGGAAUAAUGGAAUAGGACGUCGGGCCUAUUUUGUUGGUUCUAGGACCGUCGUAAUGAUUAAUAGGGACAGUUGGGGCCGUUUAUAUUCCGUAGUCAGAGGUGAAAUUCUUGGAUUUACGGAAGAUAAACUACUGCGAAAGCAUUCGGCAAGGAUGUUUUCGUUAA